UUCGGGUAUAGAUCCUUAUGAUCCGUCUCUCACUACAUCAUCGCAAUCUUUCAUUUCUGGGAAAGAUCGGAGGCUUCAAUAUCAGUUAAGCGUGGAAAUCUGGAUGAAGUGAAGCUAGUGUUCUAGUUCAAGGGAAAUAAUCCAAGAUCUGGAGGAAUUGAAGAGCAGCAAAUAAUCCAUAAGCCAGCAUGUAUAAGACAACUAAAAUCAGCAUGGUCAUCUAAGAUAAUAGGUUAAGAUUUUACCUUUAUUUCCUGACUUUAGAUUAGUUUUUAUGCAUAUAAUGGCAUAGUUUGUAAUUUUGUUCAUUGCACUGUGUAAGGCAAUAGUUCAUCCAACUAUCAUUUAAUUUUUGCUUUGGCUGGGCUUUAUAUGAUACAGCCGAUGUCUCGUUUUAGACACUUUGAAUUAAACAGAAUCUUUUUAA
Ipomoea nil (Japanese morning glory) is the source of this 427-nucleotide long non-coding RNA. RefSeq lists it as uncharacterized. The transcript is spliced from 2 exons. Lineage: Eukaryota; Viridiplantae; Streptophyta; Magnoliopsida; Solanales; Convolvulaceae. The record is from RefSeq and is a predicted model, not a curated record.